GACGAACGCUGGCGGCGUGCUUAACACAUGCAAGUCGAACGGAAAGGCCCUGCUUUUGUGGGGUGCUCGAGUGGCGAACGGGUGAGUAACACGUGGGUAACCUGCCCUUGACUUUGGGAUAACUUCAGGAAACUGGGGCUAAUACCGGAUAGGAGCUCCUGCUGCAUGGUGGGGGUUGGAAAGUUUCGGCGGUUGGGGAUGGACUCGCGGCUUAUCAGCUUGUUGGUGGGGUAGUGGCUUACCAAGGCUUUGACGGGUAGCCGGCCUGAGAGGGUGACCGGCCACAUUGGGACUGAGAUACGGCCCAGACUCCUACGGGAGGCAGCAGUGGGGAAUAUUGCACAAUGGGCGGAAGCCUGAUGUAGCAACGCCGCGUGCGGGAUGACGGCCUUCGGGUUGUAAACCGCUUUCGCCUGUGACGAAGCGUGAGUGACGGUAAUGGGUAAAGAAGCACCGGCUAACUACGUG
Molecule: ribosomal RNA, 468 nt
Filed under: uncultured bacterium
Lineage: Bacteria
Description: partial 16S ribosomal RNA
Rfam family: Bacterial small subunit ribosomal RNA
Source: RNAcentral